CAGGGUCCUUUAAUCUGUAUCUCUAUAAGAACACUCAAUUUUCACGCUUUCUGUCUUCUUUCUUCCAGGGCUCUCCCCUUGCCCUAGGCUCUGGCCGUUGCGCCCGGCGGGGUCAACUCCAUGAUUAGCAUGGAGCUGUAGGAGUCUAAAUUGGGGACACAGAUGUUUGGGACGUCUCCUUGCAGUGUUAACUUGGCUCUUCAUAAACCUCUUUGAUCUUCCACAAGAAGUACGCUACGGGUGAAACCUCUUAGGCUAAUACUUCUAUGAAAAGAUACCUUGGAUAGGGUAACACCGGCGGAUAUUGGUGAGUUGUUAAGACAAAAACCAUUCAACGCCGAAGGACUGGCUCUCAUCCAGUGGAUGCAUUGAGUGAAUUGAUUGUCAGGGCUGUCUCUAGGUUUAAUCUCAGACCUCUCUGUGCUUAGGGCAAACACUAUUUGGCCUUAAAUGGGAUCCUGUGAGAGGGGGUCCCUCCAUUGACAGCUGGACUGUUCUUUGGGGCCUUAUGUGGUGUUUGCCUCUGAGGUACUCAGGGGCAUUUAGGUUUUUCCUCACUCUUAAACAAUAAUG
Molecule: non-coding RNA, 573 nt
Filed under: Hepatovirus A
Lineage: Riboviria; Orthornavirae; Pisuviricota; Pisoniviricetes; Picornavirales; Picornaviridae
Description: Hepatitis A virus Hepatitis A virus internal ribosome entry site (IRES)
Rfam family: Hepatitis A virus internal ribosome entry site (IRES)
About the family: IRES elements allow cap and end-independent translation of mRNA in the host cell. The IRES achieves this by mediating the internal initiation of translation by recruiting a ribosomal 43S pre-initiation complex directly to the initiation codon and eliminates the requirement for eIF4F.
Source: Rfam by way of RNAcentral